UACGUAGGGGGCGAGCGUUGUCCGGAUUUAUUGGGCGUAAAGAGCUCGUAGGCGGCUUGGCAAGUCGGGUGUGAAACCUCCAGGCUCAACCUGGAGACGCCACUCGAUACUGCUAUGGCUAGAGUCCGGUAGGGGACCACGGAAUUCCUGGUGUAGCGGUGAAAUGCGCAGAUAUCUGGAGGAACACCGGUGGCGAAGGCGGCGUUCUGGACUGCAACUGACACUGAGGAACGAAAGCCAGGGGAGCAAACGGG
This 254-nucleotide ribosomal RNA is filed under the name uncultured bacterium. RNAcentral describes it as "partial 16S ribosomal RNA". It matches the Rfam family "Bacterial small subunit ribosomal RNA", at positions 524 to 776 of the family's 1533-position model. The record is from RNAcentral.